RNAcentral lists this ribosomal RNA (1148 nucleotides) under Leifsonia naganoensis. Its description in RNAcentral is "bacterial SSU rRNA". It matches the Rfam family "Bacterial small subunit ribosomal RNA", at positions 28 to 1186 of the family's 1533-position model. The record is from RNAcentral. Lineage: Bacteria; Bacillati; Actinomycetota; Actinomycetes; Micrococcales; Microbacteriaceae.
GUCGCCACUUUGGGGGCGUGCUUACACAUGCAAGUCGAACGAUGAACCAGGAGCUUGCUCUUGGGGAUUAGUGGCGAACGGGUGAGUAACACGUGAGUAACCUGCCCUUGACUCUGGGAUAACCUCCGGAAACGGAAGCUAAUACCGGAUACGAACUGCGAAGGCAUCUUCAGCAGUUGGAAAGAACUUCGGUCAAGGAUGGACUCGCGGCCUAUCAGGUAGUUGGUGAGGUAACGGCCCACCAAGCCUACGACGGGUAGCCGGCCUGAGAGGGUGACCGGCCACACUGGGACUGAGACACGGCCCAGACUCCUACGGGAGGCAGCAGUGGGGAAUAUUGCACAAUGGGCGCAAGCCUGAUGCAGCAACGCCGCGUGAGGGAUGACGGCCUUCGGGUUGUAAACCUCUUUUAGUAGGGAAGAAGCGAAAGUGACGGUACCUGCAGAAAAAGCACCGGCUAACUACGUGCCAGCAGCCGCGGUAAUACGUAGGGUGCGAGCGUUGUCCGGAAUUAUUGGGCGUAAAGAGCUCGUAGGCGGUCUGUCGCGUCUGCUGUGAAAACCCGAGGCUCAACCUCGGGCCUGCAGUGGGUACGGGCAGACUAGAGUGCGGUAGGGGAGAAUGGAAUUCCUGGUGUAGCGGUGGAAUGCGCAGAUAUCAGGAGGAACACCGAUGGCGAAGGCAGUUCUCUGGGCCGUAACUGACGCUGAGGAGCGAAAGCGUGGGGAGCGAACAGGAUUAGAUACCCUGGUAGUCCACGCCGUAAACGUUGGGCGCUAGAUGUGGGGACCAUUCCACGGUUUCCGUGUCGCAGCUUAACGCAUUAAGCGCCCCGCCUGGGGAGUACGGCCCGCAAGGCUAAAACUCAAAGGAAUUGACGGGGGGCCCGGCACAAGCGGGCGGAGCAUGCGGAUUAUUUCGAUGCAACGCGUAGAACCUUACCAAGGCUUGGACUAUACAGAACGGGCUAGAAAUAGUCAACUCCUUUUGACACUCGCAACAGGGGCGGGAUGGGUUUCGUCAGCUCCGUGCCGCGAGAAUGUUGGGUUAAGUCACGAACGCAGCCCACCCUCGAUCUACUGUUGCCAGCAGCGAAGUGGGAACUCUAUAGAAAACUGACCGGGGCCAACUCGGGACGCAACGUUGUA